GACGAACGCUGGCGGCGUGCUUAACACAUGCAAGUCGAACGGAAAGGCCCUGCUUGCAGGGUACUCGAGUGGCGAACGGGUGAGUAACACGUGGGUGAUCUGCCCUGCACUUCGGGAUAAGCUUGGGAAACUGGGUCUAAUACCGGAUAGGACCGCACUUUAGUGUGUGUGGUGGAAAGUUUUUUCGGUGUAGGAUGAGCUCGCGGCCUAUCAGCUUGUUGGUGGGGUAAUGGCCUACCAAGGCGGCGACGGGUAGCCGGCCUGAGAGGGUGUACGGCCACAUUUGGACUGAGAUACGGCCCAGACUCCUACGCGAGGCAGCAGUGGGGAAUAUUUCACAAUGUGCGCAAGCCUGAUGCAGCGACGCCGCGUGGGGGAUGAAGGCCUUCGUGUUGUAAACUCCUUUCUCUAGGGACGAAGCUUUGUUGUGACGGUACCUAGAUAAGAAGCACCGGCUAACUACGUG
Molecule: ribosomal RNA, 466 nt
Filed under: uncultured bacterium
Lineage: Bacteria
Description: partial 16S ribosomal RNA
Rfam family: Bacterial small subunit ribosomal RNA
Source: RNAcentral